Molecule: long non-coding RNA, 594 nt
Organism: Pipistrellus kuhlii (Kuhl's pipistrelle)
Lineage: Eukaryota; Metazoa; Chordata; Mammalia; Chiroptera; Vespertilionidae
Exons: 2
Source: RefSeq, a predicted model, not a curated record
UAAAGGGAAGAAUAGAUAUUAAAGCUGCUGGAUAAAAGUUAGGGACCUCCCUAUGUGGUAGACCUUUAGAAUAUCCUGGCUGUUCUUGAAAAAAUAGAACAGGACUAUUUUUAAAUUACAGCCUCAAACAUUUUAUGUUCUAGACUUACAGCACAAUAGAGAAAAUUUGGAGGAUCCUUACUAUGAAACCCAGAGAAAAAAAUUUAUAUACAACGAUGAGACAUUAAAACUGAAGAUUAGAAUAGGGAAAAGAGGUAACUCAGCCUGUAAAAUAAGUUCUGGUUUCUAGGCCACAACAACUUUAGAAACCUUCCCAACAUUUUGAAGUCAUCAUAAAACAUGGUGUGAUGUGAUACCAUAUGUGAAAUUUUCUACUCCUUCCCUCCAGGAGUGAUAAUAAAGUCAAAGAAAUAGAUGGUACUUUUGGACAAAGUAAUUUCCAAAAAUGGGGGCUUAGAUUCUACCACAGGCAAAAUCUAAUCUAGAAGAGAAGAUAUAGUAGUAAUGACCCAAAAGUUACUAAAGCAUUUGUUUACUCCAUUACCACAAUGAUUAUAUCAUGGAACAAUUAUAACCUUUAAUGGAAACCAAAGA